This 253-nucleotide ribosomal RNA is filed under the name uncultured bacterium. Its description in RNAcentral is "partial 16S ribosomal RNA". It matches the Rfam family "Bacterial small subunit ribosomal RNA", at positions 524 to 776 of the family's 1533-position model. The record is from RNAcentral.
UACGGAGGGAGCUAGCGUUGUUCGGAAUUACUGGGCGUAAAGCGCACGUAGGCGGCUUUGUAAGUUAGAGGUGAAAGCCCGGGGCUCAACUCCGGAACUGCCUUUAAGACUGCAUCGCUUGAAUCCAGGAGAGGUGAGUGGAAUUCCGAGUGUAGAGGUGAAAUUCGUAGAUAUUCGGAAUAACACCAGUGGCGAAGGCGGCUCACUGGACUGGUAUUGACGCUGAGGUGCGAAAGCGUGGGGAGCAAACAGG